This 249-nucleotide unclassified non-coding RNA is filed under the name Penicillium sp. RNAcentral's name for it is "partial contains 5.8S ribosomal RNA, internal transcribed spacer 2, and large subunit ribosomal RNA". The record is from RNAcentral. RNAcentral also lists the same sequence under 2 other names. Lineage: Eukaryota; Fungi; Ascomycota; Eurotiomycetes; Eurotiales; Aspergillaceae.
AACGCACAUUGCGCCCCCUGGCAUUCCGGGGGGCAUGCCUGUCCGAGCGUCAUUUCUGCCCUCAAGCACGGCUUGUGUGUUGGGUGUGGUCCCCCCGGGGACCUGCCCGAAAGGCAGCGGCGACGUCCGUCUGGUCCUCGAGCGUAUGGGGCUCUGUCACUCGCUCGGGAAGGACCUGCGGGGGUUGGUCACCACUAUAUUUUACCACGGUUGACCUCGGAUCAGGUAGGAGUUACCCGCUGAACUUAA